RNAcentral lists this ribosomal RNA (451 nucleotides) under uncultured bacterium. RNAcentral's name for it is "SSU rRNA". It matches the Rfam family "Bacterial small subunit ribosomal RNA", at positions 26 to 518 of the family's 1533-position model. The record is from RNAcentral.
AGAGCGAACGCUGGCGGCAGGCCUAAUACAUGCAAGUCGAACGGAUCCUUCGGGAUUAGUGGCGGACGGGUGAGUAACACGUGGGAACGUACCCUUUGGUUCGGAACAACUCAGGGAAACUUGAGCUAAUACCGAAUGUGCCCUUCGGGGAAAAGAUUUAUCGCCAUUGGAGCGGCCCGCGUCUGAUUAGCUAGUUGGUAGGGUAAAGGCCUACCAAGGCUACGAUCAGUAGCUGGUCUGAGAGGAUGAUCAGCCACACUGGGACUGAGACACGGCCCAGACUCCUACGGGAGGCAGCAGUGGGGAAUAUUGCGCAAUGGGCGGAAGCCUGACGCAGCGACGCCGCGUGAGGGAUGACGGCCUUCGGGUUGUAAACCUCUUUCAGCUCUGACGAAGCGAGAGUGACGGUAGGAGCAGAAGAAGCACCGGCCAACUACGUGCCAGCAGCCGC